Molecule: transfer RNA, 74 nt
Filed under: Bacteroidota bacterium
Lineage: Bacteria; Pseudomonadati; Bacteroidota
Description: Bacteroidetes bacterium (grounwater metagenome) tRNA-Arg
Rfam family: tRNA
About the family: Transfer RNA (tRNA) molecules are approximately 80 nucleotides in length.
Source: RNAcentral
GGACCUGUAGCUCAAUUGGAUAGAGCACUUGACUACGGAUCAAGAGGUUUGGGGUUCGAAUCCCUACUGGUCCG